AGGGCACCACCAGGAGUGGAGCCUGCGGCUUAAUUUGACUCAACACGGGAAAACUCACCCGGCCCGGACACUGGAAGGAUUGACAGAUUGAGAGCUCUUUCUUGAUUCAGUGGGUGGUGGUGCAUGGCCGUUCUUAGUUGGUGGAGCGAUUUGUCUGGUUAAUUCCGAUAACGAACGAGACUCUAGCCUACUAAAUAGAUUGUUGGCUUACAAACCCCAAUGAGACUUCUUAGAGGGACAGGCGGCGAUUCGUUGGCUGUAAACAGAGCAAUAACAGGUCUGUGAUGCCCUUAGAUGACCGGGGCCGCACCCGCCGCUACACUGAAGUGAUCAGCGUGCAUUCUCAUCCUACUCUGCCAAGAGUGGUGAACCCAAUGAACCUUCUUCUGGAUUGGGAUAGGAGAUUGUAAUUAUUCUCCUUGAACGAGGAAUUCCCAGUAAGCCUGAGUCAUAAGCUCGCGUUGAUUAUGUCCCUGCCCUUUGUACACACCGCCCGUCGCUACUACCGAUUGAAUGUUU
Molecule: ribosomal RNA, 519 nt
Filed under: uncultured eukaryote
Lineage: Eukaryota
Description: SSU rRNA
Rfam family: Eukaryotic small subunit ribosomal RNA
Source: RNAcentral